CAGCUGUGAGGAGGAGAGGCUUUCCCUGUGAGGUCUGCUGGCUCCCACUGUUGCUUUUCUUUAAUUCCCCUGGGAUUCCUGGGGGUGGUGGGAAGGUGGCUCUUUCUCUUUGUGCCACUGAACUGAAUUAAGCAGCUGUCCUUAAGACCUGCUCCAGCAGGACAGCACAAAGAGGGGCUGAAGUCUGGCCUAAACCUGGAUUUUGCUAUGCAUUUCUGAGGCUCAGGUUUUGUCCUCUUGCAUCUGUGCAUGCUGACCUCUCUCGUUGCCUUUGAAGCACUUAAGAUCACAUCCAAGAGCUGCAUUCCAGCUGUGGCGCCUUCUGAGCACAAAUCUUUAUGCUGACUUCUCUUGUAUCCUUUCAUUCCCGGAGGGAGCUCGAGUUCGUUCACAUGUUGCUGGACAAGAGACAAAGAAGAUCUGUUCAGCACAUGCAGAACAGAUGCUCAGGGAAGGAGGGGGAAUUUUCCAGUGCAGUUUCUGCAAUAUCCAUUGCUGCUGUCUUGCUCCCUGUGUAAGCACUGCUGGCCUCUCCAGAGCUGGUCUUGGGGAUUUUCCCAUCUUGGAGACAGCCCACCCAAGUCAGCUGCUCCUGAAGACAAUUGCCUAUCAAAAAUACUCUCAAAGAGAGUCACCUGCUCCCAUACUUCCUUUUCAAGAAGAGAGAAUAAAAUAGAUGGAACCACUGAAUACUUGUUUCUCAAAGGUGUGGCUUAAAGUAAGCAAGAUACAGGGUGAGGAGAGAACACAGAGUGCUGCUGAUGCUCACUCAGAGCAGUGGUGCUCAACUUUGGCUUCCCUUUUUUAUGUUCUGGGGUUGAACAAGCUAUGGACUUGUUCCAGCAGGAGGUGAGGAGGUGUUAUGACUCCUGUGCUCAUCUGAGGCAUGCAGGCACAUGACACAGAAGGCACACAGUGUGGGUGGAUGAAGCUAGAGCUAUGGCUAUUUAAGAGUACAUUAACUUCUUCAGCAAGGACUUGAUCCUGUGAGGCAGGGAAAGGCACUGUUAUUGAUGGGAAAAGAGAUGAAAGGCAAAUGGUCUUUGCAAUUUUCUAGCACCUUUUG
Molecule: non-coding RNA, 1066 nt
Organism: Zonotrichia albicollis (white-throated sparrow)
Lineage: Eukaryota; Metazoa; Chordata; Aves; Passeriformes; Passerellidae
Source: RefSeq, a predicted model, not a curated record